GGCGGUGCGGCGAGGGCCGGGGCCUCUGCUGCUACCACCGCUCUGUUGCGACAGAUGGGAUGGAGUCGACGGAGAGAAGGAGACCGUGGGAAAGCCAUCUUCUUUGCGGCCUGGCCUCCUGACACCAGGGAUUCUGGGGGUUGUGGUUUCCGAACGGAUCGAGGCUGACACCUGAACUACGCGGCUUAACCGCUUGGCCCCAAGAGGGUCCUGUGGAGCUUCCCGACGUCACCUGGGCAGGAGUGGAAGAGAGUGAUCGGGAAUAUUGUGCUGGCAGUUGGAGCAGGCCAUACCGGAACUCCGGACCAAAAAUAAAACCGGUGCCCUUCCGCCCCCAACCUCAAAUGCUGAUUUUGCUUCCAAGUGUUGUUGAGAGCUGGCUCUGCAGUCAGCUCUGAGCUAGGCGCUACGAAAACGCUCAGUAAGACAGUGUCUCCUCUGGGAAUGUACAAGCUAGAUUCAAACCGAGAAACUGCUAAAGGUUGUGUGCAGGGCAGAACCUAGGGUACCAGGAGACCCAGCCCGCUGACUCGCCCCCAAAUAAAUGUUGGGGCUCCUCA
Long non-coding RNA from Microcebus murinus (gray mouse lemur), 560 nucleotides. RefSeq lists it as uncharacterized. Lineage: Eukaryota; Metazoa; Chordata; Mammalia; Primates; Cheirogaleidae. The record is from RefSeq and is a predicted model, not a curated record.